This 253-nucleotide ribosomal RNA is filed under the name uncultured bacterium. RNAcentral describes it as "partial 16S ribosomal RNA". It matches the Rfam family "Bacterial small subunit ribosomal RNA", at positions 524 to 776 of the family's 1533-position model. The record is from RNAcentral.
GACAGAGGGGGCAAGCGUUGCUCGGAAUUACUGGGCGUAAAGGGCGCGUAGGCGGGAUGGCAAGUCGGUCGUGAAAUCCUUCGGCUCAACCGAAGAACGUCGAUCGAUACUGCUGUUCUAGAGGAUUGCAGAGGAGACUGGAAUUCCCGGUGUAGCGGUGAAAUGUGUAGAGAUCGGGAGGAACACCGGUGGCGAAGGCGGGUCUCUGGGCAAUUCCUGACGCUGAGGCGCGAAAGCGUGGGGAGCGAACAGG